This 581-nucleotide long non-coding RNA is filed under the name Coccomyxa subellipsoidea. RNAcentral's name for it is "long non-coding RNA (CSUB_LNC000600)". Lineage: Eukaryota; Viridiplantae; Chlorophyta; Trebouxiophyceae; Coccomyxaceae. The record is from RNAcentral.
GCAACCUCCUCGCCGCUGCAGGCUGCGAGACCACGUCUAGAAGCAGGACGGUAGCCAGAACGCAAAGAAGGGUGGCUGAGGAUCUGUACGCCGCCAUCCUUGAGGUGGUCUCUCGAGAGCUGAUCGUGAUCGGCUGCAACGCACAUAUCGAGCUGUCAGGAUCUCAGAUAUCGGUCCCAUUGAAUGAUUCCCAGUAUUAUAGGAAGUAAAUACAUAUUUGCACAUUCCAUCGGUUUUCAGACAGACGCCCUGAAUGGGCAGCCCUAAUUUAGGGCGUCUUGCACGCAUGCCGAAGACCUACGCAAAGGCGUCUUGAAGAGAGAAGUAUAUCAAGGCUGGCGAUGGGCCAAAGUACGAUUUUAUAAAUGAUCAAUCAUCGGGAUCCCCACCUUACCUUUCGCGAUCGCUGUUUUAGUUGUGUUUGGCUCAGUAUGAUCUCACCCUCGGAGUGCCAUCGACGUUCCCCUAGCGAGUUCUAUUGGAGUUUCGAUACCCACAGGCCUUAGGCACGUUAAAAGCUGUAAAUCGUCUAAGUCCUCCUGUCUCUCAAUGUGGACGUUUCCAGAAUUGUGAUCAUGAGA